UAGGGAAUAUUGCACAAUGGAGGAAACUCUGAUGCAGCCAUGCCGCGUGUGUGAAGAAGGCCUUAGGGUUGUAAAGCACUUUCAGUAAGGAAGAAAAAGCGGGGCUAAUACCCCCGUCAUAUGACAUUACUUACAGAAGAAGGUCCGGCUAACUCCGUGCCAGCAGCCGCGGUAAUACGGAGGGAUCGAACGUUAAUCGGAAUUACUGGGCGUAAAGCGCGCGUAGGCGGUUCAUUAAGUGGGAUGUGAAAGCCCCGGGCUUAACCUGGGAAUUGCAUUCCAAACUGACGGACUAGAGUACGAGAGAGGGGGGUAGAAUUCAGAGUGUAGCGGUGAAAUGCGUAGAUAUUCUGAGGAAUACCAGUGGCGAAGGCGGCCCCCUGGCUUGAUACUGACGCUGAGGCGCGAAAGCGUGGGGAGCAAACAGGAUUAGAUACCCGUGUAGUCC
This 448-nucleotide ribosomal RNA is filed under the name uncultured prokaryote. Its description in RNAcentral is "bacterial SSU rRNA". It matches the Rfam family "Bacterial small subunit ribosomal RNA", at positions 355 to 796 of the family's 1533-position model. The record is from RNAcentral.